This 246-nucleotide unclassified non-coding RNA is filed under the name Hevea brasiliensis (rubber tree). The record is from RNAcentral. Lineage: Eukaryota; Viridiplantae; Streptophyta; Magnoliopsida; Malpighiales; Euphorbiaceae.
GUAGGAGUCCCAGCACCAGCAUUAGCAACAGUACUAGCAUUGGCAGCACCAGCACCAGAGUUACCAGGAAUGGCAGCAUGCCCCUGGCCUUGGGGAACACCAUAGCUAUCUUCAUACAUAUUUUGUCCGACAGGCCGACCAGAAGCCUCCUUCUCAUUGUUCCCAGAGGCACCACCAUAAGGCCCACCAGCAACAGUUCUUAUAUCAACAUUUGCUCUGUUAGUAAGUUCUAAACGAAGCUUUUCC